AAAAUAACUCUGAACCGGCCCUGAUGGCCUAGUGGUUAAAUUUCAGCUCUCUCACCGCUUCGGCAGCCCACAUUCAUUUCCCGGU
Molecule: non-coding RNA, 85 nt
Organism: Ceratotherium simum simum (southern white rhinoceros)
Lineage: Eukaryota; Metazoa; Chordata; Mammalia; Perissodactyla; Rhinocerotidae
Source: RefSeq, a predicted model, not a curated record